GACGUAGCCAAGAAGAUGAAGCGAGUAAUCCUUUCCUCCACUCUGUUCUUGCUUGUGCUCGGGAUUUCUGGACGGGUUACAUCCUCAGCCAGUCAACCCAAUUCUGACACGAAUCGAGGGGAAAUCCAUUUCAGGGGCAACUGCACGCCAACGGAUAAAUGCAAAUACACCAACACGUCCUGCAUCGAUGGAAUUUGUCAAUGCAGACCAGGCCACUUUUUAGCUGCCGUCCAUAGCCAUAUCAGUUGUCAUGGUUCGUGUUCAUGGUACAAUUUUGUAUUCACGUCAUACAUAUUUUGAAAGCGAGUUGAAUGAUUUCCAAAAACUGUCUAAAUCCACAACAUUGUCACGGUCGAGAACCAUCCUUGGGUGAUCAAGAACGAGACAUGUCUUCAAGUCUCAGAUUCCAAUAUUUCGUGUCGGUGCCCCUGUUACACGGGAUUUCUUAUCGACGUAAUUCGCAUUAUCGACAAUGCAAUUAAGAAUUUGGAAAAUUGCACAAUCACCGAAAAGGAUUCCAUCGGGACCCUGGACACGAGUACUGAUCCACCCUCGUGGAACAAUGGAUUGAUGCAAGUCGUAGCGAAAAAUCAAACAGAUCUCGUCCUGGCGCCUUUCAGUCUUACCAAACAAACCACCGAACUCAGAAACACGAUGGAUUUCUCCACUUUCAUAAUAAGUAAUCCGUACCAACAAUUGCAUUUUUCCAUUGGAUUCCCCCUCUCGUCUCGGGCCGAGUUCCAAUACCUGAAAUGGAUCACGGUACUUAUCGGGCAGGGGCAUAAUGAGCAGCUCUUGAACAAAUGGUUCAUACAAGGGAAAUCGUUGUGGUCCAAGGACAAACAGAAGACUCCCUACACACCCACCAGAAAGUGUCAUCUUCUAUAAGACGUGGUAUAAAAUUUACACCGGAAAUGAUCACGGACUGUGCAUAUGUAUCGCUAAAAUAAUUUUGUUAAAUGUUUAAAGCAAAAAUUUUUAAGCAACUAAUAAAUUCAUAGGCUUUGUAAAUAUAAUUGGUAUAGAAAUAAUGUAAACCAUUGCCUAAUAAAAGUUAUCAAUUUCAUUAUCCAAGCACACAAA
This is a long non-coding RNA of Folsomia candida, 1083 nucleotides long. RefSeq lists it as uncharacterized. The transcript has 5 exons. Lineage: Eukaryota; Metazoa; Arthropoda; Collembola; Entomobryomorpha; Isotomidae. The record is from RefSeq and is a predicted model, not a curated record.